GCUCCGGUAGCUCAGUUGGUAGAGCAGGCGGCUCUUAACCGUCGUGUCGCUGGUUCAAGUCCAGUUCGGAGUAC
This 74-nucleotide transfer RNA is filed under the name Streptomyces phage Daubenski. RNAcentral's name for it is "tRNA-Lys". It matches the Rfam family "tRNA". Rfam says of the family: Transfer RNA (tRNA) molecules are approximately 80 nucleotides in length. Their secondary structure includes four short double-helical elements and three loops (D, anti-codon, and T loops). The record is from RNAcentral. Lineage: Duplodnaviria; Heunggongvirae; Uroviricota; Caudoviricetes; Stanwilliamsviridae. RNAcentral also lists the same sequence under 2 other names.